AAGUCGUAACAAGGUUUCCGUAGGUGAACCUGCGGAAGGAUCAUUACCUUUCUGGCUAUUUAAUAGCUUGUGCUGGGGCUGUCAGUUUCUGCCAGUCCCUGACUCACUUAUCCGUGUUUUUGCGUACUUACAUGUUGCCUCGGCGGGCUUGCUUGCCGGAUUGGACAACAUAAACUCUUUGCAAUUGCAAUCAGCGUCUGAAUUAUAUAAUAAUUACAA
This 219-nucleotide unclassified non-coding RNA is filed under the name plant metagenome. RNAcentral describes it as "partial contains small subunit ribosomal RNA and internal transcribed spacer 1". The stretch from base 1 to 46 matches the Rfam family "Eukaryotic small subunit ribosomal RNA", at positions 1786 to 1831 of the family's 1831-position model. The record is from RNAcentral.